RNAcentral lists this ribosomal RNA (435 nucleotides) under uncultured bacterium. RNAcentral describes it as "bacterial SSU rRNA". It matches the Rfam family "Bacterial small subunit ribosomal RNA", at positions 29 to 507 of the family's 1533-position model. The record is from RNAcentral.
AACGAACGCUGGCGGCAGGCUUAACACAUGCAAGUCGAACGGUUGUAGCAAUACAGCAGUGGCAGACGGGUGAGUAACACGUGGGAACCUUCCUAGGGGUACGGAACAACCCAGGGAAACUUGAGCUAAUACCGUAUACGUCCGUGAGGAGAAAGAUUUAUCGCCCUUAGACGGGCCCGCGUCGGAUUAGGUAGUUGGUGGGGUAACGGCCUACCAAGCCGACGAUCCGUAGCUGAUCUGAGAGGAUGAUCAGCCACACUGGGACUGAGACACGGCCCAGACUCCUACGGGAGGCAGCAGUGGGGAAUCUUGGACAAUGGGCGCAAGCCUGAUCCAGCCAUGCCGCGUGAGUGAAGAAGGCCUUAGGGUUGUAAAGCUCUUUUACCAGGGACGAUAAUGACGGUACCUGGAGAAUAAGCCCCGGCAAACUUCGUG